CAGCAGCCGCCGCGGUAAUACAGAGGGUGCGAGCGUUAAUCGGAUUUACUGGGCGUAAAGCGUGCGUAGGCGGCUUCUUAAGUCGGAUGUGAAAUCCCUGAGCUUAACUUAGGAAUUGCAUUCGAUACUGGGAAGCUAGAGUAUGGGAGAGGAUGGUAGAAUUCCAGGUGUAGCGGUGAAAUGCGUAGAGAUCUGGAGGAAUACCGAUGGCGAAGGCAGCCAUCUGGCCUAAUACUGACGCUGAGGUACGAAAGCAUGGGGAGCAAACAGGAUUAGAUACCCCAGUAGUCCCUGUCUUUAUACA
RNAcentral lists this ribosomal RNA (304 nucleotides) under uncultured bacterium. RNAcentral describes it as "partial 16S ribosomal RNA". It matches the Rfam family "Bacterial small subunit ribosomal RNA", at positions 506 to 809 of the family's 1533-position model. The record is from RNAcentral.